RNAcentral lists this ribosomal RNA (790 nucleotides) under uncultured archaeon. Its description in RNAcentral is "bacterial SSU rRNA". It matches the Rfam family "Archaeal small subunit ribosomal RNA", at positions 85 to 880 of the family's 1478-position model. The record is from RNAcentral.
ACGGCUCAGUAACACGUAGAUAAUCUACCCUUGAGUGAAGGAUAAGCACGGGAAACUGUGUCUAACACUUCAUAUGGGAUUCGACCUGGAAAGGUAUUUCCCUGAAACUCGUGCUCAAGGAUGAGUCUGCGGAUGAUUAGCUUGUUGGUGGGGUAACUGCCUACCAAGGCGAUGAUCAUUACGGGCUCUUAGCGGAGUUGCCCGGAGACGAAAUCUGAGACACUAUUUCGAGCUCUACGGAGUGCAGCAGUCGCGGAACUUUUACAAUGCACGCAAGUGUGAUAAAGCGAACCAAAGUGUUUGUCGUAUAGAUAAACUUUUUCUUAGUGUAAAAACCUAGGAGAAUAAGGACUGGGAAAGACUGGUGCCAGCCGCCGCGGUAAUACCAGCAGUUCAAGUUGCAUCCCUUUUUAUUGGGUCUAAAACAUCCGUAGCUUGCCGUUUAAGUCUCUUGUGAAAUCUCACGUCUCAAGCGUGAGGCUUGCAGGAGAUACUGAGCGGCUAGAGAUCGGUAGACGUAAGGAGUACGCCGGAGGUAAUGGUAAAAUAUGUUAAUCUUCGGUGGACUAACAAUGAGCGAAGGCACCUUACGAGGACGAAUCUGACAGUGAGGGAUGAAGGCCAGGGGCGCAAAACGGAUUAGAUACCCGUGUAGUCCUGGCAGUAAACACUGUUCACUAAACAUCGGGCCCUCUUCGGGAGGAUUCGGUGCUGAAGCGAAGCGAAGAGUGAACUACCUGGGAAGUAUAGUCGCAAGAUCGAAACUUAAAGGAAUUGGCGGGGGAGCACA